AUUGAACGCUGGCGGCAGGCCUAACACAUGCAAGUCGAGCGAGCGGCGGACGGGUGUGUAAUGUCUGGGAAACUGCCUGAUGGAGGGGGAUAACUACUGGAAACGGUAGCUAAUACCGCAUACCAUCAGAUGUGCCCAGAUGGGAUUCGGUAGUAGGUGGGGUAAUGGCUCACCAAGGCGACGAUCCCUAGCUGGUCUGAGAGGAUGACCAGCCACACUGGAACUGAGACACGGUCCAGACUCCUACGGGAGGCAGCAGUGGGGAAUAUUGCACAAUGGGCGCAAGCCUGAUGCAGCCAUGCCGCGUGUGUGAAGAAGGCCUUCGGGUUGUAAAGCACUUUUAGCAGGGAGGCGGUACUCGCAGAAGAAGCACCGGCUAACUCCGUGCCAGCAGCCGCGGUAAUUC
Molecule: ribosomal RNA, 406 nt
Filed under: uncultured bacterium
Lineage: Bacteria
Description: partial 16S ribosomal RNA
Rfam family: Bacterial small subunit ribosomal RNA
Source: RNAcentral